CAACUUCUAACGGUGGACCCCUCGGCUCGUGCAUCGAUGAAGAACGCAGCAAACUGCGAUACGUAGUGUGAAUUGCAGAAUUCAGUGAAUCAUCGAGUCUUUGAACGCAAAUGGCGCUUCUGGUCCU
This 127-nucleotide ribosomal RNA is filed under the name Halichondria okadai. RNAcentral describes it as "5.8S ribosomal RNA". It matches the Rfam family "5.8S ribosomal RNA", at positions 1 to 126 of the family's 154-position model. Rfam says of the family: 5.8S ribosomal RNA (5.8S rRNA) is a component of the large subunit of the eukaryotic ribosome. It is transcribed by RNA polymerase I as part of the 45S precursor that also contains 18S and 28S rRNA. The record is from RNAcentral. Lineage: Eukaryota; Metazoa; Porifera; Demospongiae; Suberitida; Halichondriidae.